RNAcentral lists this ribosomal RNA (244 nucleotides) under uncultured bacterium. RNAcentral describes it as "partial 16S ribosomal RNA". It matches the Rfam family "Bacterial small subunit ribosomal RNA", at positions 91 to 334 of the family's 1533-position model. The record is from RNAcentral.
CGGACCGGCGCACGGGUGAGUAACGCGUAUGCAACUUACCUAUCAGAGGGGGAGUAACCGGCGAAAGUCGGACUAAUACCGCAUAAAGCAGGGACCCCGCAUGGGAAUAUUUGCUAAAGAUUCAUCGCUGAUAGAUAGGCAUGCGUUCCAUUAGGCAGUUGGCGGGGUAACGGCCCACCAAACCGACGAUGGAUAGGGGUUCUGAGAGGAAGGUCCCCCACAUUGGUACUGAGACACGGACCAA